Molecule: ribosomal RNA, 276 nt
Filed under: uncultured Megasphaera sp.
Lineage: Bacteria; Bacillati; Bacillota; Negativicutes; Veillonellales; Veillonellaceae
Description: partial 16S ribosomal RNA
Rfam family: Bacterial small subunit ribosomal RNA
Source: RNAcentral
UUGCUUCUUAUCAAUUCGAGUGGCAAACGGGUGAGUAACGCGUAAGCAACCUGCCCUUCAGAUGGGGACAACAGCUGGAAACGGCUGCUAAUACCGAAUACGUUCUUUUUGUCGCAUGGCAGAGGGAAGAAAGGGAGGCUCUUCGGAGCUUUCGCUGAAGGAGGGGCUUGCGUCUGAUUAGCUAGUUGGAGGGGUAACGGCCCACCAAGGCGACGAUCAGUAGCCGGUCUGAGAGGAUGAACGGCCACAUUGGGACUGAGACACGGCCCAGACUCC